CUACGGGCUGCACCAGUGAGGAAUAUUGGACAAUGGGCGAAAGCCUGAUCCAGCAAUACCGCGUGAGUGAUGAAGGCCUUAGGGUUGUAAAACUCUUUCAGUAGGGAAGAUAAUGACGGUACCUACAGAAGAAGCACCGGCUAACUCCGUGCCAGCAGCCGCGGUAUACGGAGGGUGCUAGCGUUGUUCGGAAUUACUGGGCGUAAAGCGCGCGUAGGCGGUUUGACAAGUUGGAAGUGAAAGCCCAGGGCUCAACCUUGGAAUUGCUUUCAAAACUGUCAAACUAGAGUGUGGUAGGGGACAGUGGAAUUCCUAGUGUAGAAGUGAAAUUCGUAGAUAUUAGGAGGAACACCAGAGGCGAAGGCGACUGUCUAGGCCACUACUGACGCUAAGGCGCGAAAGCGUGGGGAGCAAACAGGAUUAGAACCCCAGUAGUC
Molecule: ribosomal RNA, 437 nt
Filed under: uncultured bacterium
Lineage: Bacteria
Description: partial 16S ribosomal RNA
Rfam family: Bacterial small subunit ribosomal RNA
Source: RNAcentral